GACCCAGUGUGGUGCAGUGGUUAGUGUGUCAGACCGGUGUGUCAGACCAGGUUCUAAUCUGGUAGAGUUCAGGGUUCAAAUCCCUACUUGGCCA
Non-coding RNA from Podarcis lilfordi (Lilford's wall lizard), 94 nucleotides. Lineage: Eukaryota; Metazoa; Chordata; Lepidosauria; Squamata; Lacertidae. The record is from the annotation of a GenBank genome assembly.